Molecule: ribosomal RNA, 964 nt
Filed under: Lipomyces doorenjongii
Lineage: Eukaryota; Fungi; Ascomycota; Lipomycetes; Lipomycetales; Lipomycetaceae
Description: SSU rRNA
Rfam family: Eukaryotic small subunit ribosomal RNA
Source: RNAcentral
GUGAAACUGCGAAUGGCUCAUUAAAUCAGUUAUCGUUUAUUUGAUAGUACCUUACUACUUGGAUAACCGUGGUAAUUCUAGAGCUAAUACAUGCUAAAAAUCCCGACUUUUUGGAAGGGAUGUAUUUAUUAGAUAAAAGACCAAUGCUUCUUCGGAAGUUCUUUGGUGAUUCAUGAUAACUUUUCGAAUCGCAUGGCCUCGAGCCGGCGAUGGUUCAUUCAAAUUUCUGCCCUAUCAACUUUCGAUGGUAGGAUAGUGGCCUACCAUGGUUUCAACGGGUAACGGGGAAUUAGGGUUCGAUUCCGGAGAGGGAGCCUGAGAAACGGCUACCACAUCCAAGGAAGGCAGCAGGCACGCAAAUUACCCAAUCCCGACACGGGGAGGUAGUGACAAUAAAUAACAAUACAGGGCUUUUUAUGGUCUUGUGAUUGGAAUGAGUACAAUUUAAAUACCUUAACGAGGAACAAUUGGAGGGCAAGUCUGGUGCCAGCAGCCGCGGUAAUUCCAGCUCCAAUAGCGUAUAUUAAAGUUGUUGCAGUUAAAAAGCUCGUAGUUGAACUUUGGGCUUGGUCGGCCGGUCCGCCUCAUUGGUGUGCACUGACCCGACCGAGCCUUUCCUUCUGGAUAACUAUAGUGCUUUUUAUUAAGUGCUAUAGGGAGCCAGGACUUUUACUUUGAAAAAAUUAGAGUGUUCAAAGCAGGCAUACGCUCGAAUAUAUUAGCAUGGAAUAAUAGAAUAGGACGUACGGUUCUAUUUUGUUGGUUCUCUAGGACCGUCGUAAUGAUUAAUAGGGACAGUCGGGGGCAUCAGUAUUCAAUUGUCAGAGGUGAAAUUCUUGGAUUUAUUGAAGACUAACUACUGCGAAAGCAUUUGCCAAGGAUGUUUUCAUUAAUCAAGAACGAAAGUUAGGGGAUCGAAGACGAUCAGAUACCGUCGUAGUCUUAACCAUAAACUAUGCCGACU